Molecule: small RNA, 147 nt
Filed under: Pseudomonas thermotolerans DSM 14292
Lineage: Bacteria; Pseudomonadati; Pseudomonadota; Gammaproteobacteria; Pseudomonadales; Pseudomonadaceae
Description: proV RNA
Rfam family: proV RNA
Source: Rfam by way of RNAcentral
CGUCGCUGCCGGCUCCGUGGGCCGGCAGACCGCGGCUCUCAGCCGCGGACCGAAGAGCAACAAGUGGCCGCCUUCCCCUCUCGACCCGAAGGCAGGCCUAGAAGAAAUUUCGGAAGUACGGGCCUCCAGGAAUGGAGGUCGCAUUCU